GUUUAAGCAGCCGCGGUAAUACGGGGGGAGCAAGCGUUGUUCGGAUUUACUGGGCGUAAAGGGCGCGUAGGCGGCGCGACAAGUCACUUGUGAAAUCUCCGGGCUCAACUCGGAACGGCCAAGUGAUACUGUCGUGCUAGAGUGCGGAAGGGGCAACUGGAAUUCUCGGUGUAGCGGUGAAAUGCGUAGAUAUCGAGAGGAACACCUGCGGCGAAGGCGGGUUGCUGGGCCGACACUGACGCUGAGGCGCGAAAGCUAGGGGAGCGAACGGGAUUAGAUACCCCUGUAGUCC
Molecule: ribosomal RNA, 292 nt
Filed under: uncultured bacterium
Lineage: Bacteria
Description: partial 16S ribosomal RNA
Rfam family: Bacterial small subunit ribosomal RNA
Source: RNAcentral